UCAAGAGAAAGCAUUAAUGUCAUGUGAUGCUAAGAUAAGGAAGAACAACAGCAGCAACAGCAGCAACAACAAAAACCAGAAGCUUUUGUUCAAAGCGAGCAGAAGCAUCUGGAAGGUGUUAAAGGAGGCUGGAAGCAGCUCAAACAUGUGUGUGGUGCUCCAAGAGGACUCUGAAUUGUAGGUACUGUACCUACCCUGCUCAAUGGAUAAAUCAGCUCUACUUGGCCAGGCCAUUCCUGCCUUAGAAGAUCAGCCCCAGUCCUUGUGCUCAGCAGCAUUCUCCAGAGAGACAGAACCAACAGGAAACAGGUGAGUAUACAGGGAAAUAGAUUAGAGGAGCUGGCCCACACAGCUGUGGAGGCUUCCCCACAAAAGACAACAGAUGUCUGCAAGCUGGGAACUCAGGGAGAUGAGUAGCAUAGCUCAGUCUUACUCUGAAAGCCUCAGACCAGGGAAGCAGAUGGGGACCCGAGGAUCACAAGUAGGUGAUUUAAAUACUGAAAACCACAGGUCAGGAACCUGAAGCCCAGGCAUCCAGAGAUGGGAGGUAAUUGUUCAUCUAGUUCUAGAGGAUAGAUGGACUAAGUCACCCUUCCACUGCUUUUGUUCUCUUUGAGCUCCUGUCUUCCACUGGGUGGCCGAAAAUCACAGAUUCCUGUACACUCACCCACAGCGAGGCAGUGCAGACACCAGUGGAACAAACUUCCCAUCUGAGGCCAAGUAACCUCUCCCAUAGGAAGUGGAGUUCCAUGCUAGCCCUGCAGUUGAUCGAAGCACUUCAGGACAGGAGAGAGACUCCUUCCAAGAUCCUGCAGUGUGUAUCAUCCUCUCCACUCUUUCAUCCUUGUUUAUACUUGUGCCACUGUCAUCACUCUUAUCACCUAAACAAGCAGUCCUAGGAUCUCAAAGUGCAUCUAUUGUCCUGAAAAUAAUUCCAAGUUUAGCCUCCUUUAUGGCAGAGUGGUACUCCGCUAUGUAGAAAUUCCCCAUAUUUUUUAGCCAUGGGCUUCUUCUAAGAUUUACAUAUUAUGUUGGUUUUCUAUAAACAUGAGUACAUAUGUAUCACUCUUAUAUGAUGUCUGUAAUUCUUUCAAGAAGAUCCCUAGUAGGAGACUAACUGGGUCAAAUGAAAUUGCUAAUUUUUGUUUUUUUGAGGAAUCUGUAAGUGUAAUCAAUCAGACAAGCUUAAAUACCACAUGAUUUCUCUUGUAUAAGAAAUCCAAAAUACAAAUAAAAAUCAAAAUAAAAAAUAGAUAAUAGAAAGUAGGGAGAUAGAUUUUGUUCAAGUAGGAAGAAGAUUAAAAGUUGGGAGAGGGAAAAGAGAUGAAAAAAUCAUUAAAAGCAUUAUGUAUAUGUACCAGCCACACACAAGGACUGUAGUCACAUAAUGUAAUCAUGCCUUAGUAUCAAUUAAAAGCUGAAAAAAGAACCCAAACUAUGCAGCAGAGGUAUCCAGGCAGUCAUGAUGGAGUCCAGCAGCAGGGGAAGACCAGGGGAACUGGGGGAGCAAGGAAUGAGAGACAGACUUCUCUUUUGAAACUUCCCCAGGAAGGAAAGGCAGAUAGUGAAAGGGGUGAAUCACACCUGCAAAGGCCAAAGCCCUGUUAUACAUUUGACAUUCACCAUCAUGUUUGCUUCUAAGAGCAACACUGCUCUGAAGCUGUCAUAUCCCUCUGUUACAGAUGAAGAAAAGGAUGCUAUGUGUCAGGGUCUGGAUGUCGUGUUAGACCUUUCUAGCUAUAUCUAAGUCUAGGUUUCUUCUUAUUUCAGUUCAGCUCAAGAAAAUUUAUAAUGAGGACCAGAGACUCAUAAGCAGGAAGAGAAAUCUAAAAUCUUUCUCUUAGAUUUACCACUCUGUGUAUUUCUUCAGGCUCCUUUGACCCACCGUCCAUGUUUUGACAUGGCUUUUUGACCACUAGAAGCUUGGCACUGUUUGCAGGCCAGUGAUUAUCACAACCUUUCCUGAACUAAUAGCUGGAUUAAGAAAAAAAUCUUUGAUUUUUACACCACUGGCCCAUAAUCUUCCUUAAAUUCUAUUUUUUGAACAUCUUUUAACUGAAUAUCUUUUAUUCAAAAAUUUGCUCUGAUACUUAACAUAGCUUUCCAGUGACAAACACUUAAACACAUUGCUGGCUUUAUGAAUUCAAUUAGAGGCUUCUGAGUGCAUUUCUGCCUUCAUUUUAAAAAAAGAAAAAAAAAAAGCAGAGAAAAACACCUGACAAACUCUCCUUUUCGAGGUUUCGAUUUGCCUGUUAUUUAGACCUCAGAAACCAAGUGCUAGACAGACUCCCCUGGAUACCAAGAGUAAUUCAUUCUUAACCACAGUUACUGUUCAUAAUGUGAUAGAUUUUUCUUCUCUCUCUCUUCUUCCUUUUGCUAAAUGGUUCUAUAACUUUUAAACAAUUUCUUUGAAGCUCUUUUUCUCCCUUUUAUAAAUAUAAAUCUAGUAGUUCACCUCGUGCAAGUGUGAUGUCCUGUCUUUACCAUGAAACACAGUGUACUGCUUCUACUUUAGGAGUAAAGCACCCUUGAGAUUUGUGAGAUAUUUUCAUUUUCAUUAAGAGUGAAAUGCUAUACUUUGUCUUGUGCAGAUACUUGCAAACAUAGAUCUCAACAGAAGAGAAACACUUAAUAGCCUGGGAAAUAAUUCCAGUAUGUGGGAAAUACCACAGAGAAGAGAUGAUCAUCCCAGCCUUGUGUCAGUAUAUUCUCUUCAUUGCGGACCGUCCUGUCAUGCUUACUCCCCCAACCCUUCCUUUUCUAACCCAUCUUUGUACUGUUUCUCAAUAUGAACUUCCUGCCUAAAUCAGGUAAAAUAGGUUUCAGCCUAGAGUAGGACACUCCGAUCCCUUCCCAGAGAGGGUUUGCUGUCUGUGUUACCGUCCACUAUUGUAAUCGCAAAUACUGCAUAGUUAUGCAAGUAUGGUAAUUCCUUUCCAGUUUCCUUCACCAUCCAAAAAGUUAUAUUUGUAAUCCCAUUGAGACAUUAUUGGAAUUCCAGCAAGUUAAUUCCUAUCUACCACCUCCAAUACAACCCAUGGCAAGAGUAACCAAGACACAUUCCAAGUGAAGGGCAGCCAAGGGGUCCUAAAGUCCAAUCCUUUUGAGGAUGUGCGGACAAAGGCCCUGAUCCUAGGCUUCUUCCAGAAUUUAUUAUCUUGUGAAGAAGUGGGGUGACUGAGGGAUGAGUGACAGUGAGGAUGGAGGGAACUAGUGAGUAACUGGAGCUGGCUAGCCAGGUGGGGAGAAAAGUAUCUCUGCAAAAUGCAGAGAUAAAGAUAUGCAGAAGGAUCAAUUUACAUAAUUCAAUUAAGGUGGCAGCUGAAUUGUUUUUGGAGGCUGUUGCUCUGGUUUCUGAUGUGUAAACUUUUGUGCCCUGGAGAGUUAUAGCCUCUUUACCUUGAGGCUCAUACCUAGUUGACAUUCCUGAAGCUGUUGGCUUUACCAUCCCGAUGUGAUCGCUGAUCACGUCUUUUACAGGAAACAGGAGACUGUCAGCUUUAGAGAUUACAUACCAGUACCUUGGCUAGCUUUAUUUGCAGUGCUUAGAGUCAAAUGAAGAGAGAAGAAAAUACCACAGCCAGCUCUGUACAUAUCAGUAUAAGGAAAUAAGUCUCCCAAUAAUCAAAGUUGCAGCAAUUGUUCUGCAUUCAAGGGGAGCCCCUGGAGUUUGUUUCCCACAGUCCACACUCAACCCUCUCAGCGUACUGCAAAGUAAGUAUGGUUUGGGUUCAGAAAUCACCUGUCCCAUCUUCCCUUCAACUCUCAAUCCCUUCAAAUUCCUCAUUUUGUUCCUUUUUCUUUUAGAAAUAAGUAACAUUAUUGAAGGUAUGUAGAUGUUUUAAGUGCUUCAAGUGCUUUGAGAUGGACAUUAUGGAAAACACCUGUUUUUUAAUGAAACAAACCUGCUUGAUCAGAAGGGAACCACCUGUGUUAUCCGAAUCCCAGUUUGAGAACUUUAAGAAAAAGAGACUUAUUUACCUGAAGCAAGGAAAAGAUUGAACUUUUUCAAUGACAAUAAUUUUCAGACAAAUUUCGUGACAGAUUUCAUGAAAAAUCAUGGAAAGUAUGGACACUUUUACAAUGGCUCCUGAUUUCCAUUUAGACAUACUUUUUUCCUUUAAACUUGGACAUGUAAACCUACGAUUACUUUAUAACAAUAUUAAUAUAUUUUUAGACAUUUAAAUUAAUUCCCCAGUGAUUAUUUAUUCUAAAAUUAGACUGUUCAUAUGUGCUAAAUCAUUAUUUCCUUGUGUUUUGUGUUCUUAGAUUCAGUAACUUUUUGACUUUCUGUUUUAUUUAUUUAUUAGACUAAAGUUUUUUUUUUUUUUCAAUAAAGCAUUUUAAAAUGCUUGAGCCUCUUUCCAAAAGGCCACGUCUGUCCAUGAGAGCUCUGUUUGCCAGGCUGCAGGUGCUGGCGUAAGGAUAAAUGCUGGGUUCUCUGUAGGUGUCAGCGCUUGAGAACCUCGUUGCUACCUGGGUCCCUGACUACAUAGCACCCUAUUUAUUAUCUCCUUGACCCAGAGAAGAAUGAAGGAAGCAUAGCUGACAAGAAUCAAACUCAUGAAAAACAGGAUCCUGAUGCUGUUGCAAUAUGCAACAAAAGGUGGAGCCUGAAAAAAUAUUUCUCCCUCCAAGACAGCGUGGAGGAAACUCGUUAUUUUCCAUCUGCUUUCUUCACACUUACUCUCAGUGUGAAGUGAAAGCAAAGUUUUAAAACUUUUUCCCCACUGCGAAGAAAAUAUAGUUUAGAAAACUGCAACCUAGAAAACGAAGCAAUUAAGAACUGUCUAGCUGUGUGGAUCUGGCCCCAGCUCAACUUAAAGCAAUCACUUCAUUUCUAUGCAUUGAGACCCACAUGAGAACCAAACUCUGCAAUGUGUUAAGUGACUUGACAUUUUAAUAAACAAACAAACAAGCUGCCAUGGAAUAUCCUUUAAAAUUAUAAACACAGGGAACUUUAUGAGAUGCAAAUGGGCAUGAGAUGGUUCUGCAAAGCAAGCACCCUCUGUGUUUUGAAAUGAGGUACCAUGGGAAAAUUGAGUCUACCAACAGAUCAUCACCAUUUCUGUCAAAAGCUUAAACUUUCUUAAAGUUUCUUCAGACCCCUACUUGGGAACUACAAACGUAUAAAUUCAUUUUUGUACAAGUACAUUGUAAAGGCUAUUGUUUAAUAUGUUGGUAAUGUUAGAGAUUAAAGGUUUUUUGAGCAAAAACAA
Molecule: long non-coding RNA, 5219 nt
Organism: Cavia porcellus (domestic guinea pig)
Lineage: Eukaryota; Metazoa; Chordata; Mammalia; Rodentia; Caviidae
Exons: 2
Source: RefSeq, a predicted model, not a curated record